AGGCUUGCUGUGCAAGUCCAGAGCUUCAGAACAGCUAUUGGCCUGCAGCCCCUGAGGUUCAGCAGGGACUCAGUAUGAUUUCUAAGUGUUUCCCAUAUUCUGGUCUUCCUGUUGCUCUUGGGAGCCUCUAACCAGAAGAAGAGUGGAAGGGGGAGUGAUCCAAAGAUGACUUCUAUCCCUAGUCACUCACCCCCACUGACUCAUUCAUCUCCUGCUGGGAUUCUAAAGCCAGGAUAAGUGGACUAGGAUACAGGGAGCUAAGGAAGGAAAGAUUCCAGGAACUGAAGGCUACCAGAGAAGACCAGAAACUCAACCUGCUAUGCCAUAACCUUGUAUCUCACUGGACCCUAAGGCAAUUGAGGUGGAUCGAGGUGGCUCUUCACCUUCAUUUCCCUUAUUUUUAUUUAUUUCCCCUUUAUUUGCCAUCACUGCCACCCAUCUUCUCAAAACACACAGACACACACACACACACACAUUCAUUGAAGACCAAGGCCCUGACUCAUAUCCUUUUUCUCCAUCUCUAAAUCUGCCAUUACUGCCCUUAGAUCUAAUCCAUCAGGGUUCCCACCUGGGCUCCAUUUUUUAGAGGACCCAGCUCUGUAAAAGACAAGGAAUCUAAGGGGCCAAGGGAAGAAUCCCACAGAGAGCCCAUGCCCCUCUUUCAAGACUAUGUUCUGGGUAUCUAGAACCUUAAAAGUUCCUGCCCACGUGGUCCUGAGCCCACUGCCAGGGCC
This 734-nucleotide long non-coding RNA is filed under the name Aotus nancymaae (Ma's night monkey). RNAcentral describes it as "lncRNA (ENSANAG00000039246.1)". The record is from RNAcentral. Lineage: Eukaryota; Metazoa; Chordata; Mammalia; Primates; Aotidae.